This 1120-nucleotide small RNA is filed under the name Pan troglodytes (chimpanzee). RNAcentral describes it as "processed transcript". Lineage: Eukaryota; Metazoa; Chordata; Mammalia; Primates; Hominidae. The record is from RNAcentral.
AUUUUUAACCCACGGGACACAGAUUCAAUGGUUGACACUUUUUAUGCUAUUGGACUUGUGAUGCGACUUUGCCAAUCCGUAUCUCUCCUGGAACUGCUGCACAUAUAUGUUGGCAUUGAGUCAAACCAUCUUCUCCCAAGGUUUUUGCAGGAGAUUUCCCCCUCUGUCCUCUUCAAUUAAGGGAUGACCUGACAUCAUGGAUAGCUUACAACUCUGGAAACCAGGAGACUUCGGAUAUAUAUAUAUGUUUCCAGCUCACAGAAAGAAUAAUCAUCCUUUUUGUGGUGAUCACCAGUCAAGAGGAAGUCCAAGAGAAAUAUGUGGUGUGUGUUUUAUUCAUCUUUUGGAAUCUAUUGGAUAUGGUUAGGUAAGAAGGCAAAAUAAUCUCUUAAAACAAGGCUAAAUUGCUUUCUGCAGUGAAACCAGUACUACCAGAGGUUACUUGGUAUGAGAGAGGAAAACAUAUCCCCUUUUCAAAUUAUUUUAUCUUGAUAUGGAAAUGUAUUUUUAGUGUUCUCCAUAAUGGGCAUAUCAAAGAUAAUGAAAACCUACCGUGGUAUUACAAGAGUAAAUCAGCACAUUCAGGUUUCUGCAGAAGGCUUGGCAUAAAACCAACUUGGAAUAACCCUCAGCUGUUUCCUAACAAAGGCAUUCCUCACAAUUGCUUUAGUACGGUUGCUUUAAUAAGCAAAGCAGGUCUUUUAUUUUAUCACCAGAAUUCACAGUUAGUUUCUGUGCAUUCAAGAAUCUUUUAAAUAUAGGGCCUCUCAGGAAGAAAAUGCACUCUCACAUUCAUUUACAAUUCCAGUGGGUUCAAAUGACUAACUUAAGUCCUUUUACUGCUAAUUCUAAAACUUUGCAGUGAGAUGUGCCUAGUCUUACCUCUACAAGUGGUGGUGUCAAACAGUCCCCUUUGCUCAGUGAGUGCUUACGCCUCACUCUGGGGAGGUGUCCUAACUGCUAGGUCAGCUUUCCCAAAUAAGAACCGUCCCUCCUACUUGAGAGAUCUGGAUUUGAAUAGGUAACAAAAGAGCCCUACUUUGUUUUUUAGCCAAGGGUAUGUAAAUUUUUUUAUUAUAUUGUCAAUAACUUAACUGAAUUAAAAUAUGUUAAAUAAUAA